ACGCUCGACACCUACGGGAGACAGCAGUGGGGAAUAUUGCACAAUGGGGGAAACCCUGAUGCAGCAACGCCGCGUGAAGGAAGACGGUUUUCGGAUUGUAAACUUCUGUUCUUAGUGAAGAUAGUGACGGUAGCUAAGGAGCAAGCCACGGCUAACUACGUGCCGACAGCCGCGGUAAUCUGAGCGGGCUGGCAAGGC
RNAcentral lists this ribosomal RNA (198 nucleotides) under uncultured bacterium. RNAcentral describes it as "partial 16S ribosomal RNA". It matches the Rfam family "Bacterial small subunit ribosomal RNA", at positions 328 to 539 of the family's 1533-position model. The record is from RNAcentral.